ACGGCCCUACGGGUUGUAAACUGCUUUUGCAGGGGAAUAAAAUCCCGGACGCGUUCCGGGGCUGAAUGUACUCUGAGAAUAAGGAUCGGCUAACUCCGUGC
This 101-nucleotide ribosomal RNA is filed under the name uncultured bacterium. RNAcentral's name for it is "partial 16S ribosomal RNA". The record is from RNAcentral.